Molecule: ribosomal RNA, 1063 nt
Filed under: Protula tubularia
Lineage: Eukaryota; Metazoa; Annelida; Polychaeta; Sabellida; Serpulidae
Description: partial 28S ribosomal RNA
Rfam family: Eukaryotic large subunit ribosomal RNA
Source: RNAcentral
GGAUUCCCUUAGUAACGGCGAGUGAAGAGGGAAGAGCCCAGCACCUGAAUUCACCAGCUUUGUAAUUGGAGGAAAAUGUGGUGUUUGGGAGUGUCUAYGAGUUGAUGUUUAUGUUGCUAGAGUCCUCCUGACCGGGGCUUAACCCAGAGUGGGUGUUAGGCCUUUUCAGCAAAUAAAUCCGUCUCUCUGGCGCUCUCGGGAGUCGGGUUGUUUGAGAUUGCAGCCCAAAGUGGGUGGUAAACUCCACCUAAGGCUAAAUACGUGCACGAGUCCGAUAGCGAACAAGUACGGUGACGGAAAGUUGAAAAGCACUUUGAAGAGAGAGUUGGACAGUACGUGAAACCGUUUAUAGGUAAACGGAUGGGACCACAAUGUAUAUGAUGGAGAUUCAGGAUGCCUGAUCGAGACCACAUGGCUUAAGGGAUGAAAUCAACCUGUAGCUGAGGUGGUAAUGCAUCUGGUGGACGCACUUCCUCAUCAUAGAAGGCCACGACCGCUUGGCUGUCAGUCAUACGCGCCUAGCCAAGGUAACUCUGGCUGGAARGCUGGGAUACUUAUAGGGUUUGGGUGGCUCAACUGUGAGAUGAGCGAGGGACUCGGGCCUUGCAGAUUAAAUCUACGCCGCCGAUAUGAAAUGCAACUAUUGAGGACUGCAUGCAGUGCUUAAUGAUAGGUUCAGUCGGGUGUGGGCUGUAGCUGUUUAACUGUGAUGUCAGUGUCAGUGGUGAUUUUUCGGCACCCUAUCCGACCCGUCUUGAAACACGGACCAAGGAGUCUAACAUGUUCGCGAGUCAAAGGGUGUAAUGAAACCCCCAUGGCGUAAUGAAAGUACAAGAGUUUUGACCUAUUUUGGCCGAGACACUGAGGUGUGAUCCCGUCUGUAAGAAGCGGGCGAAGCACUGGCCCGUCUUGCUUCCUUUUCUAUGGAUGAGACGGMGCAGGAGCGUACACGUUGGUACCCGAAAGAUGGUGAACUAUGCCUGAGUAGGUUGAAGCCAGAGGAAACUCUGGUGGAGGACCGUAGCGAUUCUGACGUGCAAAUCGAUCGUCGAACUUGGGUAUA